CAGGAAUUAGCUUGCUAAUUUGCUGACGAGUGGCGCACGGGUGCGUAACGCGUAUACAAUCUACCUUUUGCUGAGGGAUAGCCCAGAGAAAUUUGGAUUAAUACCUCAUAGUAUUAUUGAUAGGCAUCUAUUAAUAAUUAAAGGUUACGGCAAAAGAUGAGUAUGCGUCCCAUUAGCUAGUUGGCGAGGUAACGGCUCACCAAGGCAACGAUGGGUAGGGGUCCUGAGAGGAUGAUCAGCCACACUGGGACUGAGACACGGCCCAGACUCCUACGGGAGGCAGCAGUGGGGAAUAUUGGACAAUGGGCGCAAGCCUGAUCCAGCCAUGCCACGUGUGUGAAGAAGGCCUUCGGGUUGUAAAGCACUUUCAGAGGUGAGGAAGGGUGUGUAGUUAAUACCUACAUAUCUUGACGUUAGCCUCAGAAGAAGCACCGGCUAACUCUGUGCCAGCAGCCGCGGUAAUACAGAGGGUGCGAGCGUUAAUCGGAAUUACUGGGCGUAAAGCGCGCGUAGGUGGUUUGUUAAGUCGGAUGUGAAAGCCCAGGGCUCAACCUUGGAAUUGCACCCGAUACUGGCAGGCUAGAGUACGGUAGAGGG
This 597-nucleotide ribosomal RNA is filed under the name uncultured Pseudomonadota bacterium. RNAcentral describes it as "bacterial SSU rRNA". It matches the Rfam family "Bacterial small subunit ribosomal RNA", at positions 69 to 658 of the family's 1533-position model. The record is from RNAcentral. Lineage: Bacteria; Pseudomonadati; Pseudomonadota.